RNAcentral lists this ribosomal RNA (380 nucleotides) under uncultured eukaryote. RNAcentral describes it as "partial 18S ribosomal RNA". It matches the Rfam family "Eukaryotic small subunit ribosomal RNA", at positions 592 to 976 of the family's 1831-position model. The record is from RNAcentral.
CAAUAGCGUAUAUUAAAGUUGUUGCAGUUAAAAAGCUCGUAGUUGGAUUUGUGGCGUACGGUGGGUUCCGGGCACUUGUUGUCUGAGUAACUUGCUGUUGCCAUCCUUGGGUGGAACCUGUGUGGCAUUAGGUUGUCGUGCAGGGGAUGCCCAUCAUUUACUGUGAAAAAAUUAGAGUGUUCAAAGCAGGCUUAUGCCGUUGAAUAUAUUAGCAUGGAAUAAUGAGAUAGGACUUUUUUGCUAUUUUGUUGGUUUGCGCAAAGAGGUAAUGAUUAAUAGGGACAGUUGGGGGUAUUCGUAUUCCAUUGUCAGAGGUGAAAUUCUUGGAUUUUUGGAAGACGAACUACUGCAAAAGCAUUUACCAAGGAUGUUUUCAUUAA